AAAAAAAUGAAGUGACAUUUAUAAACAUUUCCGUGUUUUGCAAUUCCGUUUCUUUAAAAAAUUUAAAUGAUUGAUAAUUUAUCGCCCUUUGAAUCGACACACCAUUUGUAAACAUCGAAGGUCGCGGAGAAAAUGAAACUACCAAAACCAAUUGUUUGAUGAUUUAUUUCGAUUGUAUACAGAAUGACAGUUUGUGAAUCUCAAGAUCAACCACUGGGGAUUGUUUGGCUUGAUGCAAUGACCUUAAACAGUGAAAUGAUUUUCCAGGAAGGUCUAUACACAACAAGCUGGAUUUUAUGGGGUGAUGAAAGAACUAUGAAUAUGCAAAUGGGAAUGAAACAGAAGGACUUAAUAUGUUCUACUGAUCAUCCAGCUGAAAUCAUGCCUGUGGAAUAGAGUACAUGUCACAUAUACUGAUAUGAGCAAAUAACACCAUAUUGUACAAAUAAUGUCAUGUUUCCUGCCCUCAUGACCAGAAAAAGUUAAAAAUUCUAGUUCAAAUUACAAAUGUGUUUCAAGAAAAAGUAAAACUUAGUCAACUAUGAGAAAUAUUGGGUAAAAGUAGUGUUUUAAUGUCAUGACAGCUGUGAAGUUGUUUGAGAAGCACUAUCCUAAUUGUUCUAACAAUACAGAAUUUAACUUAUAAAUUUUCCAAAACUGCAUGCAUGAAAUACUAAAACAUGUCUGUUGAAUGAAUCCUAGUUGUUUCAAAACUACAACAUGUGUGACAUUAAAGCACAACCUUUGUAGGAAACAUUUUUACAAUAAAAACUGCCUUGCCAGUGUGAGUGUAGGAAGGAUUUUUCCAGAAAUGGCAGAAAACUACUAAUAUAGCAGAAAAUAUUUGUUACUGGCUGAAUAUAAUAUAUUUUAUUUCAAGACUUAAUCAUGUUAAUCCAUGGUUAUAAUUGUGUUAAAAGAUAUUUUUACAUGACAUGACCUUUGCAGAAAUAGCUAUUUUUUUUGCAAAACAUUAUGAGUUGCCAUGGUAACACAAAUUUGACUUAAAUUUAGAUUUGUUUGAUUAUGUAAAUAGCAUGUGUCUUGUUUAUAUUCUGCUAAUCAGACUAUGUUCUGCAAGAAAAUAUCUUUUGUGUGUAACCAUCAACAAAACAUGUCAUAACACAAAUCUGCCAUAAAAUGGCAGAGCUGUAAUGCAGGUAGGCAUAUCAGGAAAAUAUGUAGUUCUGAAAGACAAGUUAUAUUACAUAAAAUGAUGUUUGUUUUUUAUAAAUGAUCAUAAUUGACCAUUUGUGGUGUAAAACAAAUGUAUACUGAACAGAUGCUAAAUGAAUGUUCUGAUUCUUUCUGGAAAAUUUACAAAAAACUACUAUUUUAAGAAAAUAGUGUAUUGUUGCCAUGGUAACAUUAAUUUUACUUUUAAAUUAUUUUGGAUAUCAUCAUAUGUAAACAACAUCUUUCUUGUUUAUAUGUUAUAUAUGUUAAGCUGUAUUAUGUUAGUGAAUAUAUUUUAAUAUGUUAUAAUUGCAUCAACAAAGCACUAUGUUAUUACACAAGCCUGCCUUAAAAUGGCAAUAGUUGUAACUGAGAGAGGUGUAUCUGAAAAUUAUGCAUUUCUCAAACCAUAUUACAUUAAUUUUCACGGACUGAUGUCUACUCUCUUACUUUUAAAUAAGAAAACAGACAGCUUUUGAUGUAAAUAUAUGGAAAAACACUUCCAAUAUUCAAUUUAUUACAAAGAAAUUGCCAAAAAUGUUAGUAUUUUUGUAAGAAAAUACCACAUUGUUGCCAUGGUAAUGAUUCACUGAUAAGUAUAUCUAAGUCUUUUGAAAUUUUAGCAAACUCACAGUUGAUAAUAACAGUCUAAUAAUUAUAUCUUCUUGCCUGAUUUUCUUUCUUACUGUUUUUAAAUAGAUAAGGUGUCUAUAAUAAUAAGAUCAAUGUCCUAGUUUUUGGGAUGUUGUCUAAUUUGAUAUCAAAUAAAUUCUGUAUCUUGUUCAAAAGAAGGUCAUAAAACAGUUGCCUGUAAACUGUUAGCACACUAGAAAAAGUUAAUUGUGUAUUUAUUUCACAUUCUAUGUAAUUUAUUGGUAGAUUCAUCAAGAGACUGUUAAAAAAGAGGUUAAACAACAGUGUUGCUAUAGAAACGAUUUUUAGAACAUAAAUAUUUUUGUACUACAUGAAAGAAAGAGACAAAAAGAAAUACAUUCCAUUAAUUGCAUGUUGCUUUUGUUAUUUUAUCAUGUAUUUUAUCUUGAUAUUGUUUAAAUAUGGUGUCAUAAUUAAGAUAUACUGCCUCAAUUUUGAUACAGUUAGACAAAAACAUGGUGUCCGAAAAGUGGUAAUAUCUCCAUGACAACGACUGAUUUUUGUUGUCAAAUUGAAGAUUUUUACUCAGGACGGGUCAGUCUGUCAGAUUAGCCCAAAACCCAAUUUUUGACCAAAAUUGCAUUUGGACCCAAAAUCUCAUGCUCUGUCACAUAUGUUGAAAACAUAAUAUGAAGAAUAGGCUGAAAAUUGAUAAGUCAGUAAAGGAGUUAGACACUUAGUGGUACAAUAAAACAUUUGAAUAUAGUUCCGGGUAGUAUAUGAACAAGUUUUGACCAGAAUAUUGUGUGAAGUGAUGAAAGUACAGUGAUUGUGAUGUGAUAUUUUGCAUAAUCAGUCGCAACUAAAGUGAACACAAACAAGCGUAAUAAAGAAAACGUGUAUAACAGUAUAGUGAUCGGUUGGUUUGGUUAAAUUUAAAGUGACUUUGUGAAAGGUUGUUAUGAACUUAGAAUAUAUAAGAGAUGGCUGAAUAUAUUUCACCGUAUGAUUUACGCAGACUUACUUUAAAAAGAAGAAGGAAACAAGCACUUCUAGAAGAAGCCAUUGAAAAGGAGGAAGAAGUAAAGGAAAGAGAGAGAAUGCUUAAACAAGAGAUGUUGAAAAAUCCACAUAUGCAAAGAGAAUUGUUAAUACAACGAAGGAGAGACUUGCAAGUCGACAGAGAAGAUAAAGAGGAUAUGAACACAAAUGAUAUAGAAAGUAUAUAUGCGUAUUGGAACGAACACGAUUUACCCUUGGAUGAAUAAGUAACUCUAGAUGAGUUAGGAUUUGAAGAGGAAGAAGCACUUUGUAACUCAACAUACGAAGAAGCAAGUAUUGCGAACAGUCUUUCAGGUGUAGAAAUCUCACAGAAAGAAAUCAAUUUGUCAGGCGAAAUUGAAAGACUUAAUAUAAUGUUAGAGUCCUUCAGACAUGAGGAUUGUUUUGUAAAUGAUAAUGAUAAACAUACCGAUUCAAGAGACUUUACUGUACACAAAGAAAGAUCUACCAAUGAAAACGGAGAUACUUUCAUAGUAUACCCUGAACAAAACCAUUAUCAGUAUACCGAAGCUGAAACAAACAUACAUGUUGAAAAAGAUCAAGUAUCGAAUGAAACUGUAUCAAACAGCAUAAGCCAUAGAAUGACUCAAAAACCAGAAAAUCCUGUAAUAGAUAGAGAUAUUGUAAACGACAAUGUACAGACAGGAUACAGUAGAAAACAACAGAGGAUAGAAUAGAAGAAGAUAUUGCGAAUCUAGAAGAAGAAAUAGCGAUAGAAAUGUCCGCAAAGAGACAAGAUAUAGAAAUAAAUCAAUACUCGAAAGCAACAAAAGUGAAUUACACACAGGCUGAACUGUUGGAGAGAUGGAAAGAGUUAGGAAAAGAAUUAAAGGAAGUAAAUAGUAGACAGUUGACAAGAGGAGAAGAGAAUAAAGGAAGAGGACAUGUUGAAAGGUUUCAGACAGAAAUAAAGACUGAUAUAACUACAAACGUACGUUCACAGCUAUCGAGUCAUAAAACAUAAACAAAGAGUAGAUGAGAGUGUUUUCAAACGAGUAAAAGAAAUAGAUAGAGACUUGUUAGAGAAACAGAACAGCGGGACAAAACAUAGUGUUAGAGUAAAAACAGAACCGAACAAAUUAGAGGAGUUACAGAAACAAAAAGACGAAAUAGAUAGACAGUUAAGGGAAGAAACGUUAGAAAGAGAUAGAAUCUUAUUGAAGGGAAAAACGGAAUGGGAAGAGAAAAUACGACAAGUAUUGAAGAACUAUAAAGAAAAGAAAGAGAGAGAACAGAUAGAACAGGAGAAGAAGAGAGAAAGACAGAGACAAGAAGAAAGAGAAAUUAUGGCUCGUAUUGAAAGA
Molecule: long non-coding RNA, 4136 nt
Organism: Mercenaria mercenaria
Lineage: Eukaryota; Metazoa; Mollusca; Bivalvia; Venerida; Veneridae
Exons: 3
Source: RefSeq, a predicted model, not a curated record